GAACUCCUUACCCCAGCUGCCUGGCUGCCCUCAGCUUCCCAAAGCUCAAAUAAGAGGGGCCGGCGGCGCGGGGAAGAGGAGGAGCCAGGAGGCUCGGCCGCUCCAUUCACUCAGCAGCCCAAGCCCGGCCAGGCAGCGCGCGCUGCUCCUUGGGGGCGCCCUCGCAGCUGGGGUGAGGGCGGGUCCGAGGGAGCGUCCCUCUCGGAGACACCCUCCUCUUCAACCCAACACGCGCUCUCAGCUGGCCGGUGUGGCACAACCCUCCCCCCACCUCCCCUUCUUGGCCUUCGCCAGUGUGGGAGCCUCGUCUCACUGGAGAGUCCGUUCAGCUUGCAUUGCAUAAACGUUGUCGCCAUUAAAUUCUGGCUGCGGACCCGAAGUGUGUGCGGGCCCAGGACUUACUCGAAGGGCGCACUUCUUGGGAAUGCGCAUCCCGUAGGCGCAGGAGACCCUGAGGAAUCCUUGUGGGGGCGGGGAGGGGAAGAGCACCGGUGCGAACCCCGGGGUGCCCCCUCGCCCGACUUGGACUUCUCCGACUAAAGAGGUGGGAGGAGUUCCCUGCAGCCUGCGGGGCCAAGAAGAAAGUGCUAAGCUGAGGAGCCGCAGUCGGAGGACCCCAGGGACCCGACAGGAAGUCUCCGUACGACCCCAACGGAUCCACAUGCCCGGAAGCCCAGGCGACACUAAGCCAGCGCUGGGGAACUGACGUACUCCUGCAGUCGCAGGGCGCUCCAUGCCUCUCUGUCCUCUUCUUUGUUGUGGGUAACGUUCUCUGCGGGAGACCUGAGGUUUUCCAAGGGGGACAUGCCAGCUACACUGGCCUUGGCGCCCUGAGCUAAGCACCAGGACUCACAGCCUAGCACGAAGGCAGGUAGCACCUUCACCCGCCGCGGACGAUAGGCGCUCUCCUGUACCUCCUUUAGCUCGCGAGGCCCGCCCUUCGCGAGGUCCCAGAGAAAAGCAGGCUGUGGAAAACUGGGCGCCCCCUUCUUUCACCCACCUUCUUACCCCUGUCAGCGCCGAGAUCUGUAGCAGAGGUUCCUGGUCUGAACCACCGAUUGGCAAAGAAAGCUGCAGAUUAAACUUCUCGUUUUACAGAGAAGGAAACUGAGGCCCAGACAGCCGAAGGAGAGGCAGUCUAUGGAGCGCAGCGGUAAAGAGCAAGGGGUUGGUGGCCCCAGAAUGGAACCUCAGCUCUGCCAGGUAACCAACAGCUGUGUGACCCUAGACGAGUUCCGCAGUCUCUCUGAGCCUCAGUUUCCUUACUGGUCAAACGGGAUAAUGGGAUACUAGCGCCCACCUCAUAGAGUUGUUCUGAGGAUUAGAUAGGAGAGCAGUGUGGGCCUUUGACUCAAUCAACUUUACAGUUUUUGUUACUACUACUGUUUAAGGACAGGAAACAAGUUAGUGGCAACGCCGAGCUGAAACCCGGGUCUCUCAACGUCCAGUUGGAGGUUUUACCCACCACCCCUCUACCUCUUCAGAGCUAAUGGGAUGCAGAGGCGAGGACAGCCCCUGGAAAACCAUGUGGCGUUGAUACACUGGCAAAGCGCAGGCAUCCCGGCCUCGAAGGUGCAUAAUUAUUGCAAUAUGAAAAAAUCGAGGCUGGGUAGGAGCAGGGCAGUGAGGAUUUCUCAACCCUUACUUUCACCCCGGCGCUGUCCACUGCAUCUGACAGAGCGCGGAGCUGGGCUGCUACAGCCGCAACCCCAGGGACCAGUGCGCACGCCUGGGCCGCCCUCCGGGAGUCACCCAGCGGCCGCGGACAACUGAAUAAACACCCCAAAGCGCUGCGGUCGGUCAAGGGCGGGGACAGCCACACUGCGCGCGGGGCCCGCAGGCCGUAAUAAAGAGUGGCUCGACCUCGCUGCUGCCUGUCGCGGGAGAGGAACAAGCUUUCGACUAGCGCCUCUCCCCGGGGCCCGCGCCCCGAGCCCCACGCGCAAGACAGCCCAACAGCUGUUCCUCCCCUCCCCGCCGACUCCAACUCUUCGGAAUCUGCCCACUCGGGGCUGCAGGGCAAGUGUUUAGGAUGGUUCCCAGCCCCGCGCUGGCGGUGAAAAUUUCAAC
RNAcentral lists this long non-coding RNA (2070 nucleotides) under Homo sapiens (human). RNAcentral's name for it is "non-protein coding WT1-AS:4". The stretch from base 221 to 329 matches the Rfam family "WT1 antisense RNA conserved region 1". The record is from RNAcentral. Lineage: Eukaryota; Metazoa; Chordata; Mammalia; Primates; Hominidae.